GGAGAGGUGCUAGAGCUGGUUGAAUAGGCCGGUCUCGAAAACCGGUGUGUCCUUGCGGGCACCGAGGGUUCGAAUCCCUCCCUCUCCGCCA
Molecule: transfer RNA, 91 nt
Filed under: Candidatus Latescibacterota bacterium
Lineage: Bacteria; Pseudomonadati; Candidatus Latescibacterota
Description: tRNA-Ser
Rfam family: tRNA
About the family: Transfer RNA (tRNA) molecules are approximately 80 nucleotides in length.
Source: RNAcentral